RNAcentral lists this ribosomal RNA (230 nucleotides) under uncultured bacterium. RNAcentral describes it as "partial 16S ribosomal RNA". It matches the Rfam family "Bacterial small subunit ribosomal RNA", at positions 563 to 791 of the family's 1533-position model. The record is from RNAcentral.
AAGGGUGCGUAGGCGGUUUAUUAAGUCAGUGGUGAAAGACGGUCGCUCAACGAUUGCAGUGCCAUUGAUACUGGUAGACUUGAGUGGGAUUGAGGUAGCUGGAAUGGAUAGUGUAGCGGUGAAAUGCAUAGAUAUUAUCCAGAACACCAAUUGCGUAGGCAAGUUACUAAGUCUCAACUGACGCUGAGGCACGAAAGUGUGGGUAUCAAACAGGAUUAGAUACCCCUUGU